UUAAUCUUUAAGACUUAUAUAAUAAAGGUAUAUAGUAGAAACUUACAAAUAUAUCAACAAUUAUCAGAUUAGGGGAUAUUUACUAAAAAGGAUCAUCGAUCGCUAGGUUUUGUUAGCAACAGGUAUUGACUAAACAAUUGACAGAGGAAUACCAAAUGGUAAAUCAAUUAAGUAUUCAUUCUAAUAUCGAUGCUGCUCAGUUGCGAUAGCCUGUCGUCCUACUAAUUUUCCUGCACGAAAGCUUAUAUUUUUUCAAUUUUCAACAAAAUUGCUUUACUAUUAUUAUGCUAUAAACCAUAUGAAAUUUAGGGAAAUAAGUAGAGAAAAGAAGAAAAGAAAGGAAGAAAGAGAGAGAGGGAGAGAAAAAAGAAAACUUUUCCGGAUAGCGGAAUAAUUCUAUGCCCAAAUGGAAGCUUAUAGACUAAGGAGACCAAGAAAAACUGGAUUACCUCAUCUUGGUCAAAAUUUGACGACUUCAAGAGAAAAUACACAAUUGUCAAUAAAGAACGAAAAAGCGACAAAAAACGUUCCUUUCAGAUUACCAAGCACUUCGAAAGUUGAACAAAAUCUAGUAUGGUCAAGACACGGUUUUAUAUCAUCAGAAGAAAGCGACAAAGAAUUAAAAGUUGUUAUAAAGAGAAUGAAAACAAAACCGACCGAUUUUGUAAAAUUGGCUAGAAUACGCGCAGCACAGUCUGCAAAUUUUAAAAAUGCUGUAAUUACUCCAAUACCACCGCAAUCCCAAAUGGAAGAUAGUUUAAUUAGAAAUUGUAACACUCCGAGGGUACCAUCACCAGCUAAAUCCGCUCAGAGUAUUCACUGGACUUUACCUGCUCAGAAACAAAUAUUAUUUGAUAGAAAGGGCAAAACGAGAAGUCAAGGACCUUAUUCUAGAGAAUUCUCAAUGACUUGUUCCCCACCUUCAAUAUGGAUGAAAAUGAAAUGGACACCGAGAUCAAAAACAGUCAUUUAUUGAUUGAAUAGGUUGUAAAUAAUGGAAAAAGAUUCGAAUAUUUAUAUAAUCUCACUCGCAGGUUGUAAAGCAAUUGAUUUAUUAUGAAAAUCGUGGAUCUCAUAUUUAGAAGGACUAGACAUUUUAAAUACAAAAAUAUUCAAAAAGUUAGGAAUGUACUAAACUGAUUUUGUAAGCGUGUUUAUGCACACGUAUUUAAAUAUAUUGAUAUUAAUGGUUAUCGUUGUCUUCCCCUAUUCAAUCUGUAAUCUUUCCUUUCCCAUUCGUCGUCGUACAAUAAAAACAAAAAGAAAGAAAGAAAGAAAGAGAGAGAGUGAGUGAGUGAGGGAGG
Molecule: unclassified non-coding RNA, 1304 nt
Filed under: Dimorphilus gyrociliatus
Lineage: Eukaryota; Metazoa; Annelida; Polychaeta; Dinophilidae
Description: dgyrCDS13988
Source: RNAcentral